Molecule: long non-coding RNA, 286 nt
Filed under: Hordeum vulgare
Lineage: Eukaryota; Viridiplantae; Streptophyta; Magnoliopsida; Poales; Poaceae
Description: long non-coding RNA (HVUL_LNC011254)
Source: RNAcentral
GUUAGCCUCGUGCGUUUUCCUUAGAACCGUAGCCACUCAUAUCCUUGUGUAAAACAACGCGCCUGACGUGAAUAAAGGAGCCCAAAGAGAAGGCCAUAACUUUACUAAAUAAGGUCUCAUCCUUUCUUGUUCAUAUCUUUUCUUGGCCAUGUUUUCAAAAUAGACGCUAUGUAUUCAUGCAGGCAAUUUUUUUUUCUUUUUUGAGAGAGUAGUUUUUGUAGAAGUUAAUCAUGUUGUUUCUUUAGGAUUAGGAAAUAAAGCCAAACCGAGUCCUAGUAGUAUUAGG